Molecule: ribosomal RNA, 591 nt
Filed under: uncultured bacterium
Lineage: Bacteria
Description: bacterial SSU rRNA
Rfam family: Bacterial small subunit ribosomal RNA
Source: RNAcentral
CCUACGGGAGGCAACAGUGGGGAAUAUUGGACAAUGGGGGGGAACCCUGAUCCAGCCAUGCCGCAUGUGUGAAGAAGGCCUUUUGGUUGUAAAGCACUUUAAGCGAGGAGGAGGCGCUCUUAGUUAAUACCUAAGAUGCGUGGACGUUACUCGCAGAAUAAGCACCGGCUAACUCUGUGCCAGCAGCCGCGGUAAUACAGAGGGUGCGAGCGUUAAUCGGAUUUACUGGGCGUAAAGCGCGCGUAGGUGGCUAAUUAAGUCAAAUGUGAAAUCCCCGAGCUUAACUUGGGAAUUGCAUUCGAUACUGGUUAGCUAGAGUAUGGGAGAGGAUGGUAGAAUUCCAGGUGUAGCGGUGAAAUGCGUAGAGAUCUGGAGGAAUACCGAUGGCGAAGGCAGCCAUCUGGCCUAAUACUGACACUGAGGUGCGAAAGCAUGGGGAGCAAACAGGAUUAGAUACCCUGGUAGUCCAUGCCGUAAACGAUGUCUACUAGCCGUUGGGGCCUUUGAGGCUUUAGUGGCGCAGCUAACGCGAUAAGUAGACCGCCUAGGGGAGUACGGUCGCGAAGACUAAAACGUCAAAUGAAUUGACGG